This 5031-nucleotide long non-coding RNA is filed under the name Sus scrofa (pig). RNAcentral's name for it is "lncRNA (ENSSSCG00000062276.1)". Lineage: Eukaryota; Metazoa; Chordata; Mammalia; Artiodactyla; Suidae. The record is from RNAcentral.
UCAGGGCUCAUUCAAUAUCCUGUGAUUUCUAACCACCCACUGCUAUAUCUAACACUUCCCCUCUUGGGAUCUUAAAAAAAAAACCAAAAAAAAAAAAAAAAACCGCCUUAGAAUAUGGCGAUGGUUUUACUUUUUUCUCAUGUUAUCUGUUGUACAUUGUCUGGUGCCCAGCAAGCCGCUUGGAUAAUUGCUUGGGACCAAGGAGCAGAUUUGCCUGCCCAGACUCCUGCCUGCCGUCUGCUGUAGACGCAGAGUCCCUUGGAUCAGAGGACCCGGCCCGUUGGAACCUUGCCCCCCCUGCACCGUGAAAGGGCUGCUCAGAAGCCCAAACCUCAGCCUCCGUCCAGGGCACAGCCCCUGCCCAGCCUUCUCAGCAAGGCUGUCUUGGAAGUAGGCAGCACCCCCUCCUGGGCUAAAUCCAAAUGUUUUCUGUUUGUUCCCGAGUCAUCCAGGAUAAUAACCUCGCUCUGGCAAGUUCUGCCCCAUCACUGCCCCCUCCUGGCCCCUUCUGUUGUUUAUUUGAACCGUGCUCUGGACUGUUGGCACAUCAGUUUAUAUUGGACAUUGGAAUUUCCAGAUAAGGUUUGUCAGGAAGCCAGAACCUAUUUGCAUACUUUGUGUACGAUGCCAGGGCAAGGGGGUGAAUGAAAAUAAAAUCUCGCAGUUAGUAUAGGUAAGGAACGUGAAGAAUGAAGGAUGAAAGGCAAACGAAAUACCAUUAUAAACAAGUACAAGACAACAGAAGGGCUAACGGAACCCUACUUGGGCCAGGAGUCUUGGCGUGGUGCGCUGAUGUCUGUCACCUGCAGUCUGUUCAUGAAACGGCAUCUGCUGGGAAGGGGGUGCUCAAGGCACGCACCCCUAAAAAGUCAGCUACUGGAAGUUUCUUUUACGGAACCAAGGACAUCACACUGCAAAUGUCAAGCCUUUAGGAACCUCUACCACCUGUGUUCUGUGCUUCCCGUUCUGUUCUUCUCUUUGCUUCAUUAGACAUUCGUAUUGCAGCGAAAUUUGCAGCGAAUUCUGUGUUCUGUGCUUUCUGUUCUGUUCUUCUCUUUGCUCCAUUAGACGUUUGUAUCGCAAGGAAAUUUGUAGUGAAUUAAUAAGAGGUUUUUAGUGGUACCUUCUCCUCGGUGUUUCUGGUAGCACCAUUUAUGCCGAUGGGCACGUAUGUUCUGCUUUAACCUAACUCCAGCUGCUUGCUAAAGACCAUGGGCAUUGUUCAUGUUCUCUUAGGAGUCCAAAAUGAUGGUUUUACUUGCUCGAUUUUCAGGAGAGCAACAGAAAUAACUCUCAGUGGGUCCUUACCUGAAGCCGGGCACAAACUCAAAUUAGAUUCUUUCAUCCCAGCCUCAUAGUUACCUGAUGAGAUGAGAACUAUGUUUAUUAUCCCUGUUUAUACAGAUGAGGAGUUGAAGGUUCAGAGAUGUUGCGUGACUUUCUAGGGGCGGGGGUGGAGUCCGAACUCAAAGUCUAGCUCUCUCAGGGCCUGGUUUUUAUCUACAGUGCAUAAGGUGCAUUUUAGCAUUUGCAAAUGAUGAAUAAAUGUGAGACCCCACACCUAAGGAAAUAAUCCUGUCGUCAGGGCUGGUUUCAUAAAGAUGUGAUUUGCGCAUCAUGAAACUGAGCUAGGGAGGAGGUAAAGAAUUUCUGACGUCUCGGGAGUGUUCUGAAAUAGAGGAGGUUGUCAGAACAGGAGUGGCUGCCCAUGCACCCAGCACAGACUGCAGGGUCAGAGCCAGGGCUCUGCGAAUGCUUACCAUGUUCCAGAAAGUGCUGUCCUUGAAACCAACACAUUGUGUCAUUGAAUCCUCACGACAGUCUUCAAUGUAUAAGACAGGCUCAGAACGGCAAAGCAGCUUGCCCAGGGUCACACAGCCAGUGAUUGGUGGAGUCAGGACCCUUGGCCGCUGCUCCCCUGAACUCCUCUCGGGUGCCCUAGGGGAGCUCCUCAGAGCCGCACUUUCUCAGCCUGUGAGCGAAAAAAGUCAGAUUGUCCCCAUUGCCCCUGGCCCCUUGAACACGUGUCCCAGUGUGUCGCAGAGGGUCCCCUCUGAAAUGGGCCUGGUGGACAAGAGGUCAGAAUGUGCCAGGACUCUGGUGUGUGCGCUGGGAGAAGUUCCUGCUCCCGAGGGUUUGAAAACCCAGACUGGCCCUAGAAGUAUCCUUCCAAGGCCCAGGAGAAGACCUUAAGUCUGUAAACAGUGUCCUCUCGUUGUCUUUGGAAGCAGGAAUGGGUCUUGUAACUUCCUAGCACCUUGCUGUGCUGCUCACACCAUUGAUCCUUAAGAGACCUAAGGAAAGAAGCAAGAACUAGAUGGAUGGAUGGAUGGAGGCUGGACAGGGAGAAGAAGCGCCUGUGUUUGGGUAGGAGUCUGACUAAGAACCUCUUCCCACCAGAUGCGUAUAUAAAAUAAUGGUUCUGGUGGCUCUUGUGAAAAAUACCCAUAGCAUAUAUUUUCAACUGGAUUUUGAGUGUGGGGCUUUGGAGACAGGCUACCUGGGUUCAAAUUCUUGCUCUGCCACUUAUGGCUAAUUUUCUGCGGCAGGUCAUGGAACCUCACUGGGUCUCGUAUCUGUUGUACUGCUGUUGUGCGUUUAGGCAGGUGAUGCGCCUGGAUCCAGGGAGCAUUUGCUAAGUGCCAGGUAUAAUUACUGCCAUCCCAGCGUGCCAGGCUUGCUGGAAUCAGUGCAGCCGCUGCAGGGAACUGCUCCCCUUGGCAAGUGAGUGUAAAAUUCUCAGUCCCAAGUUGAACCCAAACGUAGAGCAUCAAGCACCUGGCCCCAAGUGUAAUUUCCUCCUGCAGCUCAUUGCAGCCGUGAGGAGCUCGCAGGGGAGGGCAGCGCAGCAGCCCCGUAAUUUCCAGAGUCCUCCUCCUAGACUGACACAUAAUUGUCAGAUUGUUUUACGAGAGCAGCUUCCUGCCCCCUUCCUGCCUCGCUUCCAAAUGUGCUCCUUCCCGAGGAAGCCUCACUUCUCCCUCUGGCCCUUAAUCGCUCCUUUCCUGCCCGCCCCGGGGCCGGCCCCGUUUCCUAAAUCACUCGGAAUUGGCUUCCAGCGCCGGCGCCCAGGGUGGGCUGCAGGAGAGGGCGCGUUUGUUCUAAGUGGCUUGUGACCCAGAGGUCAGAGAUGCUUCCAUUCCGUUUGAUGUCUUUCCCAGGGGGCCUUCCUUCACCCACCCCGUCUCCUUCCCUCCUGAGCUGACUUUAAAUUCUAAGGUCAGGAACUGAUUAAGAAACUGAGUCCUGCUGCUUUUCCUAAGCAGUGUGGAGGUCCCCGGGGAUGGGGGGUGCUGGAGCGGGUGGGAGCAGCAGGGCAGGAGCCCUUGGCCCCUCGCAUUUCAAACUGCGCUCUCAAUGACUGAGCCCAGAGAUUCCUCUCCGUCUGGGCCUUCCCCUCCAAAAGCCCACCCUUAAAAGGAAAUGAUAAGUCCUCACAUUUUUAGCUUAAUUUUUCCCAUUUGAGGGAUUUCAGAGGAAGCAACACAGGGCGUUGUGUAUUUUCACUGCUAUUUCUUUUAUUGCCAAAGCAAUACACAAUCAUGGUAGUAAUUUCAAACAGCCUCAUUUCCAGGCACAGCCGCAGUUACCAGCAUUUUGUAUGUCCUUCCAGCACUGUUCUAGGCACACACAAGCCUACAGAUGGGUGUGUGUAUGUGCACACAUUUUUAACGCAAAUGGGACAAACUGGACAUCUUGUUCUACAGCUUGCUGUUUUUCACAAAACAGCGUGUUUUGGAUGUUUGCCAUUUCAGUAAAUUUGGAUUUACUCAUAAAAAAUUGCUACGUAGGGUUCCGUUGUACCAAUGCGCUAAUGUACUUCACUAGCUUCCUGUUAAUGAAUAUUUAGGCUGGUUUUGCUUUAUUACAAACAAAGCUAUAAUGUGUUCUAAAUCUGUACCCAGAUCUUGUAUUUUUAGAGCAGCUUCCAUUUAGAAGUGUAUUUUUUGAAUUGAAGGGUCUGAGAAGUGCAAAUUUUGACAGAUGUUGUCUAAUUGUUUUUCAGAAAGGUCAUACCAGCUUUAGGUCAAGUUCAGAAUUAAAUGUUUGAGAAUGCUUGAUAGUCUAUACCAGCACAAAUAUACAUAAAAUCAAAUAUUUUAACAUUGUCAUUUUAACAUCAUCAACCUUAAAAUAAGUGUACCUUAUUAUUUAAAUCAGUGCUUCCUUCAGAGUGGGCUUCAAACCUUACUCCCCCAAAAUGACUAUUUUUGUGAACUUCCUGCACAUGUAAAUUUGACCAUUUUCCUGUUGUGUUAUUUAUCUGCAUCUUAACGAUUUGAGGAUUUCGUUAUAUAUAAAGGAAAAUAAUCCUUUUCUGUCACAAGUACUAUCAAGAGUUCCCCUUUUUAUCAGUUGCCAUUUGGUUUUGUUUAUAUUUUUCUAGAUAAUAUGUGAAAAAUCAUUUUAACAGCAAAUGUAUCAAUUCUUUCUCUUUUUUCCUUUUGGACAUGCUUAGAAACUCUAACAUAAGCUGAAAUUGAAAAAAAAAUCACUCCUGUUUUCUAUUUGUUACAUGCAAAAUCUUUAAUUCAGCUAAAAUUUGGGGGGAAGAAUAAAUGCUAUGAUAGAGGACAACCUUAUUUCUCACUUGCAUGACCACUUGUUUCACACUCUUCAUUAACUAAUGCAUCUUUUUUUGGGGGGGUGUCUUUUGUCUUUUUAGGGCCAAACCGGUGGCAUAUGGAGGUUCCCAGGCCAGGGGUCUAAUUAGAGCUACAGCUUCCGGCCUUCGCCAGAGCCACAGCAACACCAGAUCUGAGCCCCAUCUGCGACCUAAUCCACAGCUCACGGCAACGCCAGAUCCUUAACCCCCCGAGAGAGGCCAGGGAUCUUACGCGCAACCUCAUGGUUUCUAGUCAGAUUCGUUUCCGCUGCGCCACGAUGGGAACUCCAUAAUGUGUCUUUUCUUAGCACUUUAAAAGAUAAAAUUUCUGGGAGCUCCCUGGUGGCCUAGUGGUUAAGGAUCUGGUGUAGUCACUGCUGAGGUUUGAUGGUUGGCCAGGGAACUUCCGCACGCUGCAGGCAGAG